GACGAACGGCUGGCGGCGUGGAUUAGGCAUGCAAGUCGAACGGUAGGAGUACCUUCGGGUAUCUGAGAGUGGCGAACGGGUGAGUAACACGUAGGUGAUCUACCCUCAAGAUUGGGACAACCCAGGGAAACUUGGGCUAAUACCGGAUGAAAGCAGCAGUGAUGUUGUUUGAAAGGUGGCGUAAGCUGCCGUUUGGGGGAUGAGCCUGCGCUCUAUUAGUUAGUUGGCGGGGUAAAGGCCCACCAAGGCGAUGAUAGAUAGGCGGCCUUAACGGGUGGUCGCCCACACUGGGAUUGAGAUACGGCCCAGACUCCUACGGGAGGCAGCAGUCGAGAAUAGUCUACAAUGGCCGAAAGGCUGAUAGUGCGACGCCGCGUGAACGAAGAAGCCCUUCGGGGUGUAAAGUUCUUUUAUAUGUGAGCAGUGCUUUCUAUGUGAACAGCAUGGGGAGAGAGAUAUUAGCAUAUGAAUAAGCAACGGCUAACUCCGUG
Molecule: ribosomal RNA, 491 nt
Filed under: uncultured bacterium
Lineage: Bacteria
Description: bacterial SSU rRNA
Rfam family: Bacterial small subunit ribosomal RNA
Source: RNAcentral